CUUUCUGCGCGCUCUCGGGGAGCGUAGCGUGGCAGUGCGGGCGGCGGCGGCUGCUCGAUGGCUGGCGAGGGUGCGGGGUCGAGGGUGUCCGCGGCAGCGUGUGGGCCGCCCUCCUCUCCCGGAAGAUGGGGAGGUGGCGCGGACCCGGCGGCCGAGCGACGGGGCAUGACCCGCCGGACCCGGUGUGAAGUGGCGCGGUGUGGGAGCCGAGCGCCGUUUGUGGUGUAGAGCUUCGCCCCAUGCCCAGGUGCAAAGCUGCGCGAAAGUGGAGUGAACGUCACAGCCGGAAGGUGGGCGUCUGAAGCGGAUUCUGUUUUUUUCCAGACAACGCGGGAGCACAAAGAUGGUUUAAGGGUGUCCUUGAUUUGAAAAUUUGAUCUCGGAGGCAUGGACGGUUGAAACACUGCAUGGGUGAAUGCACAUUUGUAACAAGGCUAUGAAUAAAUAUUUUUUAUUCUAUGUA
Long non-coding RNA from Psammomys obesus (fat sand rat), 463 nucleotides. RefSeq lists it as uncharacterized. NCBI's taxonomy places the organism in Eukaryota, Metazoa, Chordata, Mammalia, Rodentia, Muridae. The record is from RefSeq and is a predicted model, not a curated record. The transcript has 3 exons.